This 383-nucleotide ribosomal RNA is filed under the name uncultured eukaryote. Its description in RNAcentral is "partial 18S ribosomal RNA". It matches the Rfam family "Eukaryotic small subunit ribosomal RNA", at positions 592 to 976 of the family's 1831-position model. The record is from RNAcentral.
CAAUAGCGUAUAUUAAAGUUGUUGCAGUUAAAAAGCUCGUAGUUGGAUUUCUGGUAGGAGUGACCGUGCCAGACUUGAUUGUCUGUGUAUCGUGUUGUCUCCAGCCAUCCUUGUGGAGAACUUUUCUUGCAUUAAUUUGUAGGGAUUGGGACCCGCAUCGUUUACUGUGAAAAAAUUAGAGUGUUUAAAGCAGGCAAUCGCUUGAAUACAUUAGCAUGGAAUAAUAAGAUAGGACUUUGGUACUAUUUUGUUGGUUUGUAUACCAAAUUAAUGAUCAACAGGAACAGUUUGAGGAUAUUCGUAUGAACAUGUCAGAGGUGAAAUUCUUGGAUUUUGAUCAGACGAACUACUGCGAAAGCAUUUAUCAAGGAUGUUUUCAUUAA